Cucurbita maxima (winter squash) is the source of this 130-nucleotide long non-coding RNA. RefSeq lists it as uncharacterized. Lineage: Eukaryota; Viridiplantae; Streptophyta; Magnoliopsida; Cucurbitales; Cucurbitaceae. The transcript has 2 exons. The record is from RefSeq and is a predicted model, not a curated record.
UCCACCUGAAAAAUCAAGAAACAACAUUGUUCUAUUACAAACUAAGCUUGCUUUCAUCAUUAGUGUUCAUAAUAAAUCAAAUGAUUUGAAUUCUUGCCACGUCAUUCUCAAAAGUACUCAAUAAAGAAAA